UUUAACAAAGAGAAGCAAAGCCGCGAGGUAGAGCAAAUCUCAAAAAAACAUCUCAGUUCAGACUGCAGGCUGCAACUCGCCUGCACGAAGUCGGAAUUGCUAGUAAUCGUAGGUCAGCAUACUACGGUGAAUACGUUCCCGGGCCUUGUACACACCGCCCGUCAAACCAUGAGAGUUGGCAACACCCGAAGUCGGUAGUCUAACCGCAAGGAGGACGCCGCCGAAGGUGGGGUUGAUGAUUAGGGUUAAGUCGUAACAAGGUAAC
RNAcentral lists this ribosomal RNA (265 nucleotides) under uncultured bacterium. RNAcentral's name for it is "partial 16S ribosomal RNA". It matches the Rfam family "Bacterial small subunit ribosomal RNA", at positions 1235 to 1500 of the family's 1533-position model. The record is from RNAcentral.